AAAAAAACAAAAACAAAAAAAGAACUUAUUGGGAGUUAGUGUGUUUAAAUAAAGUAAAAUAGUAAUAAUAAGUAUAAUGAUCGAACCCAACACUUAAUCCCCGUGAUCUUUAUCACUGACACGGAUCCACAGUGUAUAUUGUUGUGUGCAUAGUUGUUUGACUUUGAGAGGGCGGGACUCUUUGGAGAGCGAAAUGAACUAGGCGCGGCCAAAAAAGAGCCCCAUCCAUCUAUCACACGUGUAGACAAAGGGGGACUCCACAACACAAAGCUAGAUGUGCCCUCUCAAACUUUUUUCCCCCCCUACAACCGACAGCAGCGCGCGCACAGGAAGCCGACUGCCCAGGUGGGAAUUUAAGCAAUUUAACCGGUACAGUGCUUGCUUCUGAUGGAUUAAGAAAAUAAAAAAAGAUGUGUAGAAAAAAAAACACAUGGAAGAUGUACAGAUUCACCUAUCAAGCUAUUUUUAAGAUGAAAUGAAGGAUUAAGAGACUGUUCACUUUUCUUCUGGAUGAACAUGAAGACUUAUCUUAUGAGGAUUUAGACUUCAGCAGCAGCAGCGCCAGUCGGAUUGUGUUUUAGGCACACUUGGAAAUCUAAACCUCAUGGAGAUACUUUGAGGAUUAUAAAAGAUGUGCAUGUAGAAUGCCACAAUACAAGACGCGUCCUGGGCCAAAGUCCUUGGGAUAGCAGGAUAUUGCUUUCCUGAUCCUUCUCAGCCCUCAGCAUGGGGAGUGUGGGAGUGGUGAGGUCUGGGAGAUCACGACCUUAAUUCUCUCCAAGACAGACGGUUUAAUUAACACUGGAAGAAUCCUCACUGACUCCAGACCUCUACAGUGAGAAUGUACAGGGGAAUUGGCUUGCCAAGGUCCUCUUGGCCAUAGACUGAAAUGCUGACAGACGAUGCCCAUGAAUGAUGAAUGAUGACUGGAGGUCUGUCUGGUGCCAGCAGAAUGCAUAAUACAGCAUCGAUACAGCAAUCGCAGUCCUCCUCAGCAGAAACAUGGUGCGGUUUCUGUAUCACAUUAUUGGAAGAUUUGCCCCAAGCAGGACAGCAGGACCACUCAAAGUGGAAAUCAACCGCAAUGUUGAAUGUUGUUUUGGGUUGGAGUCCUAAAUGAAGCAGCAUUACAAAGAGUUUUCUGGUGUGUCAGAGUGAGGCUCAGUGGGAAAGAUUGCUGUGUCUAGACAGGAGUGUGAGGUGCUGAUCUACACAGAAGCUUACAGGAAACUGAAGAAGACGGGUGAGGUUAAAGAGGACAGCACGAUGGAAAAAACAAGAAUAAAAGCAGAUGUGCACAAGUCUGCCAGCCGUUAACCCCACAGAGGAAGUGUGCAGGAAAUGAGAUCAGCCUUAAACAGAGUUUUGCCUGAAAACUUUUGGACCAACACAACCUGGGAAAGGUUAAGAUGAACAAAAGAGACUGCAACAGAAAGUGGAUAGAGAGUCAGUAACACCACAGCAGGAGGUGAAAGGAGGAGACCUGCAGGCAGGAAGAGAGAGGAGAGGGAAACUGUGCAAAAGUACAGCACAGAAUCGUGCCUCACAUCAGAUGGCAGCAAUGCAAAAAUGUGUGACACUGCAAAAUGAAGGCAAAGGAGAGAAAAAAAAAACAUCUGUGUGCGAUAGGGUUUAAAUCCAAUAACUGCAUGCAUGUAUGGAUCCGAGUCAUUGUUCAAAUAUUUGAGCCUUUGUGUGUGCGUGUGUGUGUGCAUGUGCACUUGCACAAUGAAUGGGGUGCCAGGCGGCAGCAGCUGGGAAUGCCUUCCUCUGUUCUCCUGUCAUCAAUAAAUGAUCAGAGUGGGCCAUCUGGAGAGAGGGAACCACCAACCACCAGGACCUGGCACUGAACGAAUGACACAGAGAAAGAAAAAGAAUGUGAGGAUAGAUCAGUGAACAGUAAGAGUAAGAGCAAGAUGGGACAGGAAGGGGGAAGUUACAUUUAAAGAACACUGGGGAGGCAAUUAAAAAGAUGAUGUGAAAAAGACCCUACAAUAUACUGGUGGAGCUCAAAAGAAAAUAGAAUAUUGUGAAAAGUUGUUUUUUCAUGAUUUAAUUCAAAAAGGCAUCAUCUCCGAUAUUCUUUUGUUUAUAUUUUUAUGAUUAUGGCUUAUAGCUCACGAAAAUCAGAAAUCAAGCAUCUUAUGUAAUUAGAAUAUUUCCAAACGGCAAUCAAAAAAAGGAUUUACUAUACUUCUGAGUAUGCUUUUUAUUCUACAGUACUUGAUUGGGUUUCUUUUACCAUGAAUUACUGGAUCAGUGCAGUGUGAUGCAGAGGCAUUCAGCUUGUGGUGUUGCUAAAAGCCAGGUUGCUUUGAUAACAGUCUUCAGCUCAUCUGUACUUUUGGGCUGAGUAUUUCACAUCUUACUCUUGUCAGUACCCUAUAAAUUGUCUGUAGGGUUCAGUCAGCUGAUCAAUUAAGCACAUUACAAUAAAAUUCACAUGACAAUAACUUGGUAAGCAAACCAUUUGGAAGUAGUUUUGGCACUGUUUGCAGGUGGUAGGUUUAAUCAAAAAGGAAACCGGCAUCGCCAUAAAGCUUUUCAACAGAUGGAAUCGUGACCUGAUCUCCUGGUAGACAGCUGUGUUGACUUUGGAUUUGAUGAAACAGAGUGAACCAACCACCACCAACACCAGCAGAUGACAUGGCACAAUAAAUCCUAACAGACUGCACAAACUUUACACUGGCAUUUCAACACUUACAUCUGUGUCUCUCUAGACUCUAGGAUCUUGAUUUUCAAAUGAAAUCAAAUUUACUUUCAUUUGAAACGAGGACUUUGGACCAUUAAGCCACAGUUUAGUUCUUUUUUUCCUUAGUCCAGCUAAGAUACUCCUGACACUGUCUGUGGUUCUGGAGUCUUUUGCCAUUACUUUUGCAACACUUGAAAGUGGCUGUGCAUGGUGGCUGUUGAUGUAUUGCAACCACCUGGGAUUCCUCUGGCCCGCCAGUAACCCCUUCACUUCCUGCCUGCUGAGAGAAAUAUCCAAGAAGAGCUCAGACUCCACUCCUCAAUUAUCAGCCAACUUUUACUACUGUAUACUUACCCCUGACCAUCACUAACCCCCCAUUUACUCUGCAGCAGAGCUUCCUGUUCAUUCCUGUAGAAAGAUACUCACUGGAGCACUUACCUUUUUCAGACUCCUGUUUUUUUUUUUUCAUUCCAAGUAGUUCUUAAAACUGUUGCUGUUCACAAGCAAAACGUGCUGUAAUGUGACUCGACAAAUUUGCACCUAGACAAAAAGAGUAAACUUCGACCACAUGUGCCAGAAGAAAAAUGCAGUUGUUUGUAGAGAUCGAAAGAACUCACACUUUUGCAUACUCAGAUACUACAUUUGACAUAAUACAUACAUAAUAUGACAUUUUCAGAGACAGAAAAUAUGCAAAGAAUAUGCAUAAAAUAAUUAGUUAAUUAAAAGUAAUUUUUUAAUGUAUUUAUUUUCACUUUUUUUUGUGACUGGAGUUAGGAGUGCCAUGGUCCUGAGUCUUUGACUUAGUAUUUUGAGUUUUAUACCCACCUGUUUCUUGGAAAGUUAUAAGAUAAUGUAAGUUCUUGUUCCUGAAUAUAUUAUGUUCUAGUGCCUCUGAGUUUGUUAUUUAAAUUUCUUGAAUUCUAGUUUCAUUAUUUUGUCUGUCUCUUAUAUGUGGUCUCUGAGUCUCUGUUUGUUUACCUCUGGUCUACCCAGUUGUGUCUCAGUGGCUGUCUGGUCUCUCUGUGUUCUGUCUCAUUUUUAGAAAAUCUUACUAAAUAAUAUUUAAAAAGCCAUGCUAUCCAAGCAUUAUGACAUUUGAAUUGAAGGAGAGUUAAUAAUUAAUCACUUAAUGGUGGAAGUAGUAUACAUUUAUCACUCUUUACAGUAGCUUAGUACAGCUCAGUACAGUACACUAUGCUGGAAGAACAUGAUAAAUAUUCAUAACAAUAGAUCCUGUUUGUAGGCUUGCAUUAGAAUCACAUGACUUUCUUUUUCUCACACUCACUGACAGUUUUCUAAAAUAUUCUAAUAUGCUGAAACUUGUAUCAGUUUUUGUUAUGUAUGUGCUACAUUUUAUUAUUAAGUAAGUUAUAAAGCUUCACAUAUACAUAUGUACACUUUUGUCUGCUAUACCCACUGGACCGCCAUACUAUUAUAAGCAGGCCCCUUUUAUUUUAACGUAAACCACAAAAGCAAAACCAUUCAUUAGCAGUCUUGCUAUCAUCCCCACAAACGUCUGUGGCCAUUUCAUUAUGUGAGCUAUAUUUUGAGCGUUUAUUUAAGAAAGCAGUUUAAUUCAUAUGUCAUAUUAAAUCAUAUUUUAUAUAUGUUACAUAUUAUAUACU
This is a long non-coding RNA of Oreochromis aureus, 4317 nucleotides long. The record is from Ensembl. NCBI's taxonomy places the organism in Eukaryota, Metazoa, Chordata, Actinopteri, Cichliformes, Cichlidae.